Molecule: long non-coding RNA, 1493 nt
Organism: Oreochromis aureus
Lineage: Eukaryota; Metazoa; Chordata; Actinopteri; Cichliformes; Cichlidae
Source: Ensembl
AAAGUUUCAAUCUCUGUUAUUUUCCCCCAAAAACGUGUUGUCGCAAUAAUGUUUUCUACGGUCAUUGGUGCCAACAGAUGGCGGCAGUUUAAAGUUGGGUGUUACUCUGCCCAGGCUGCUACCAUAGAAGAAGAAUGUAGACCAAUAGUACUUUAACGAUUUCCGCUGAUCGUUUCCGUGUAAAUCUUAGCAUUGCGUUAGCUGUCAAGCUAAAAGUUUAGCUUCAUACAGCCAUAUUUUCAGAGUAACAAAAUAUUUAAACGGUCUCAGAUCAUGGACAGUGAAGUGUCUGACACUGACCAUGUACCAGUGCCUGAGAACACUGGUAUGGAGGGGGAGAACGCACCUCUUUACUGCAUUUGUCGGAAACCAGACAUCAACUGCUUCAUGAUCCUUUGCCAUGAUAAAUUGGUCAGUUUACAACCAGGAGCCGUACACCUUAACCUCAGAGGCCAGGACAUCCAGGGCAGUGUGAAACACACUUCUUUAAAUGGGAUGUAGUACUGUCUAUAGAGGGCCACCCCUCGCCAGACAACCAAGUGCUGUCCCUGUGCACGGCCAGUGUGAGAAGGACUCUCACUAAAGUCAACCCACACAAAGCUGCUGGACCAGACAAUAUACCCGGACGUGUGCUCGGAGCCUGUGCUGACCAGCUGACUGAUGUCCUAGCGGGCAUCUUUAACAUCUCCCUGAGUCAAGCUGUUGUGCCAAGUGCUUUAAAACCACCACCAUCUUACCUGUACCAAAGACAGCUACAGCCUCGCAGUUCGAAGACAAUGGACGAUGCGAUCUCAUUGGCACUCCACCUAGCCCUAUCACAACUGGAUCAAUGCAACGUCCACCUAAGAAUGCUGUUCACUGAUUUCAUCUUAGCAUUCAACACCAUCAUUGCCCAGCAGCUGAUCGGCAAGCUGGACCUGCUCAGACUUAACACCUCCACCUGCAACAGGAUCCUGGUCUUUCUUACUGAUGGACCCCAGACAGUACAGGUUGGAAAUAUAAGAUCCAACACCAUCACACUGAGCACAGCCCACCCCCCCGGGGAUGUGUGCUGAGCCCGCUACUCUUCACGCUGCUGACCCACGACUGCACCUCCAGCUCCAACAUGUGAUGAGUCAAUGUUGUGAUUGUUUGUGAUUUAUGUGGGACUCCUCCCACCAAAGGAUGGCUGUGGGUUUUUGUUUCUCUCUCUCUCUCAGGUGUGUACACCUAGGUGUGUCUUACUGGAGUCCAGCGCCUGCUGAGUCAUUGGGUGGAAUUCAUUCCUGUUCUGGGAUUGAAUAGUUGGUUGAUCACCCCAGUAGUGAUGACAACCCCCUGGUCCCCUCUCUCCUAGCCUCCACCACCCAACAAACAGUCUGUGCUUCCAAGUGUUACUUAGUGUCUUUGUCUGAAAACUUAAUAAAUUGUUAACUGUUGACUCAGUUUUCUCCUGUUUUUCACUUAGAAGGUCAGGUAAGUAAAUUGUCUUUUGGUUGGAUUUUUUUUUCUUU